CGAUCGUAGUCCGGAUUGGAGUCUGCAACUCGACUCCAUGAAGUCGGAAUCGCUAGUAAUCGCGGAUCAGAAUGCCGCGGUGAAUACGUUCCCGGGCCUUGUACACACCGCCCGUCACACCAUGGGAGUUUGUUGCACCAGAAGUAGCUAGCCUAACUGCAAAGAGGGCGGUUACCACGGUGUGGCCGAUGACUGGGGUGAAGUCGUAACAAGGUAGCCGUAGGGGAACCUGCGGCUGGAUCACCUCCUUAA
RNAcentral lists this ribosomal RNA (252 nucleotides) under Acinetobacter baumannii. RNAcentral's name for it is "partial 16S ribosomal RNA". It matches the Rfam family "Bacterial small subunit ribosomal RNA", at positions 1283 to 1533 of the family's 1533-position model. Lineage: Bacteria; Pseudomonadati; Pseudomonadota; Gammaproteobacteria; Moraxellales; Moraxellaceae. The record is from RNAcentral.